AUAGCCACUCAUGGAUUCAGUCGACACUGGAUAACUAUCUCUCCUGCCAAGAGUCACACAACAUGCAAGCAGGUCAUUCGGCUCAACUUACUCAAACUGACCAACAUGUCAAGGGUCA
This is a long non-coding RNA of Amblyraja radiata (thorny skate), 118 nucleotides long. RefSeq lists it as uncharacterized. The record is from RefSeq and is a predicted model, not a curated record. NCBI's taxonomy places the organism in Eukaryota, Metazoa, Chordata, Chondrichthyes, Rajiformes, Rajidae. The transcript has 3 exons.